This 414-nucleotide ribosomal RNA is filed under the name uncultured microorganism. Its description in RNAcentral is "bacterial SSU rRNA". It matches the Rfam family "Archaeal small subunit ribosomal RNA", at positions 459 to 872 of the family's 1478-position model. The record is from RNAcentral.
CAGCAGCCGCGGUAAUACCGGCGGCCCGAGUGGCGGUCACUAUUAUUGGGCUUAAAGCGUCCGUAGCCGGGUUGGGAAGUCCUCCGGGAAAUCUGGCCGCUUAACGGUCAGAAUGCCGGAGGAUACUCCCAGCCUAGGGAGCGGGGGAGGCCGAGGGGAUUCCCGGAGUAGGGGUGAAAUCCUAUAAUCCCGGGAGGACCACCUGUGGCGAAGGCGCUCGGCUGGAACGCGUCCGACGGUGAGGGACGAAGGCCAGGGGAGCAAACCGGAUUAGAUACCCGGGUAGUCCUGGCUGUAAACGAUGCGGACUUUGUGUCGGACAAGCUAUGAGCUUGUCCGGUGCCGGAGGGAAACCGUUAAGUCCGCCGCCUGGGGAGUACGGCCGCAAGGCUGAAACUUAAAGGAAUUGGCGGG